RNAcentral lists this small nuclear RNA (313 nucleotides) under Myotis davidii. Its description in RNAcentral is "7SK RNA". The stretch from base 1 to 276 matches the Rfam family "7SK RNA". From Rfam's summary of the family: 7SK was discovered as an abundant small nuclear RNA in the mid-70s but a possible function has only recently been suggested. Two independent studies have found that 7SK RNA binds the CDK9/cyclin T complex (known as elongation factor P-TEFb). P-TEFb activates transcription by phosphorylating the C-terminal domain of RNA polymerase II. The record is from Rfam by way of RNAcentral. Lineage: Eukaryota; Metazoa; Chordata; Mammalia; Chiroptera; Vespertilionidae.
GGAUAUGAGGGUGAUCUGGCUGUGACAUCUGUCACCCCAUUGAUUGCCAGGGUUGAUUCGGCUGAUCUGGCUGGCUACGUGGGUGUCCCCCUCCUCCCUCACCGAUCCAUGUGCAUCCCUCCCGAAGCUGCACUCUCGGUCGAAGAAGAAGAUGAUCUUUCCCCCCAGGAGAGGACCAGUCUUCAGUCAAGGGUAUACGAGUAGCUGCGCUUCCCUGCUAGAACUCCAAACAAGCUCUCAAGUACAAACUGACCGAGUGUGAGUGUGUGUGUGUGUGUGUGUGUGUGUGUGUGUGUGAUGAAAUCACUGUCAC